GACGAACGCUGGCGGCGUGCCUAAUACAUGCAAGUUGAGCGCUGAAGGUUGGUACUUGUACCAACUGGAUGAGCAGCGAACGGGUGAGUAACGCGUGGGGAAUCUGCCUUUGAGCGGGGGACAACAUUUGGAAACGAAUGCUAAUACCGCAUAAAAACUUUAAACACAAGUUUUAAGUUUGAAAGAUGCAAUUGCAUCACUCAAAGAUGAUCCCGCGUUGUAUUAGCUAGUUGGUGAGGUAAAGGCUCACCAAGGCGAUGAUACAUAGCCGACCUGAGAGGGUGAUCGGCCACACUGGGACUGAGACACGGCCCAAACUCCUACGGGAGGCAGCAGUAGGGAAUCUUCGGCAAGGGACGAAAGUCUGACCGAGCAACGCCGCGUGAGUGAAGAAGGUUGUCGGAUCGUAAAACUCUGUUGGUAGAGAAGAACGUUGGUGAGAGUGGAAAGCUCAUCAAGUGACGGUAACUACCCAGAAAGGGACGGCUAACUACGUG
This 497-nucleotide ribosomal RNA is filed under the name uncultured bacterium. Its description in RNAcentral is "partial 16S ribosomal RNA". It matches the Rfam family "Bacterial small subunit ribosomal RNA", at positions 28 to 507 of the family's 1533-position model. The record is from RNAcentral.